UUAGCUCAAUGGCAGAGCAUCUGCUUUGCAUGCAGAAGGUUCCAAGCUCAAUCCUUGGCAUCUCAG
This 66-nucleotide transfer RNA is filed under the name Podarcis lilfordi (Lilford's wall lizard). Its description in RNAcentral is "tRNA.Ala". The stretch from base 2 to 58 matches the Rfam family "tRNA", at positions 8 to 63 of the family's 71-position model. From Rfam's summary of the family: Transfer RNA (tRNA) molecules are approximately 80 nucleotides in length. Their secondary structure includes four short double-helical elements and three loops (D, anti-codon, and T loops). Lineage: Eukaryota; Metazoa; Chordata; Lepidosauria; Squamata; Lacertidae. The record is from RNAcentral.